RNAcentral lists this ribosomal RNA (253 nucleotides) under uncultured bacterium. Its description in RNAcentral is "partial 16S ribosomal RNA". It matches the Rfam family "Bacterial small subunit ribosomal RNA", at positions 524 to 776 of the family's 1533-position model. The record is from RNAcentral.
UACGUAGGGGGCAAGCGUUGUCCGGAUUUAUUGGGCGUAAAGAGCGUGUAGGCGGUUUGGUAGGUCCGCUGUGAAAACUCGAGGCUCAACCUCGAGACGCCGGUGGAAACCAUCAGACUAGAGUCCGGAAGAGGAGAGUGGAAUUCCUGGUGUAGCGGUGAAAUGCGCAGAUAUCAGGAGGAACACCGGUGGCGAAGGCGGUUCUCUGGGCAUGACCUGACGCUGAGGAGCGAAAGUGUGGGGAGCGAACAGG